Molecule: transfer RNA, 72 nt
Filed under: Bos taurus (domestic cattle)
Lineage: Eukaryota; Metazoa; Chordata; Mammalia; Artiodactyla; Bovidae
Also listed under: 3 other names
Rfam family: tRNA
About the family: Transfer RNA (tRNA) molecules are approximately 80 nucleotides in length.
Source: Rfam by way of RNAcentral
UCCCUCAUAGCUCAGUUGGUAAAGAAUCUGCCUGCAGUGCAGCAGACUCAGGUUCGAUUCCUGGAUCGGGAA